AGCAGCCGCGGUAAUUCCAGCUCCAAUAGCGUAUAUUAAAGUUGUUGCAGUUAAAAAGCUCGUAGUUGAAUUUCGGGAUCGACAGGUUGGUCGCGCCUUCGGUGUGUACUGGUCUAGUCGGUUUCUCCCUUCUGACGAACCACGAUGUCAUUAAUUUGGUGUCGUGGGAAAUCAGGACUGUUACUUUGAAAAAUUAGAGUGUUUAAAGCAGGCAUUAGCUUGAAUACAUUAGCAUGGAAUAAUGAAAUAGGACGUUUGAUCCUAUUUUGUUGGUUUCUAGGAUCGACGUAAUGAUUAAUAGGGAUAGUU
This 309-nucleotide ribosomal RNA is filed under the name uncultured Glomeromycotina. Its description in RNAcentral is "SSU rRNA". It matches the Rfam family "Eukaryotic small subunit ribosomal RNA", at positions 569 to 883 of the family's 1831-position model. Lineage: Eukaryota; Fungi; Glomeromycota. The record is from RNAcentral.